AACGAACGCUGGCGGCAGGCCUAACACAUGCAAGUCGAGCGAACCCUUCGGGGUUAGCGGCGGACGGGUUAGUAACGCGUGGGAAUAUACCCUUUGGUACGGAAUAGCCUCGGGAAACUGAGAGUAAUACCGUAUGUGCCCUUCGGGGGAAAGAUUUAUCGCCAAAGGAUUAGCCCGCGUUGGAUUAGAUAGUUGGUGGGGUAAUGGCCUACCAAGUCUACGAUCCAUAGCUGGUUUGAGAGGAUGAUCAGCAACACUGGGACUGAGACACGGCCCAGACUCCUACGGGAGGCAGCAGUGGGGAAUCUUAGACAAUGGGCGCAAGCCUGAUCUAGCCAUGCCGCGUGGACGAUGAAGGCCUUAGGGUUGUAAAGUCCUUUCAGAUGGGAAGAUAAUGACGGUACCAUCAGAAGAAGCCCCGGCUAACUCCGUGCCAGCAGCCCGCGGUAAGUCGUACGAU
Molecule: ribosomal RNA, 460 nt
Filed under: uncultured bacterium
Lineage: Bacteria
Description: bacterial SSU rRNA
Rfam family: Bacterial small subunit ribosomal RNA
Source: RNAcentral